GAUGAAGAACGCAGCGAAAUGCGAUACGUAAUGUGAAUUGCAGAAUUCAGUGAAUCAUCGAAUCUUUGAACGCACAUUGCGCCCCUUGGUAUUCCAUGGGGCAUGCCUGUUCGAGCGUCAUUUGUACCUUCAAGCUUUGCUUGGUGUUGGGUGUUUGUCUCGCCUUUGCGUGUAGACUCGCCUUAAAAUAAUUGGCAGCCGGCGUAUUGAUUUCGGAGCGCAGUACAUCUCGCGCUUUGCACUCAUAACGACAGCGUCCAAAAGUACAUUUUACACUCUUGACCUCGGAUCAGGUAGGGAUACCCGCUGAACUUAAGCAUAUCAAUAAGCGGAGGA
RNAcentral lists this unclassified non-coding RNA (336 nucleotides) under soil metagenome. Its description in RNAcentral is "partial contains 5.8S ribosomal RNA, internal transcribed spacer 2, and large subunit ribosomal RNA". The stretch from base 1 to 120 matches the Rfam family "5.8S ribosomal RNA", at positions 35 to 154 of the family's 154-position model. The record is from RNAcentral.